This 38-nucleotide ribosomal RNA is filed under the name Alternaria alternata. Its description in RNAcentral is "partial 28S ribosomal RNA". The record is from RNAcentral. Lineage: Eukaryota; Fungi; Ascomycota; Dothideomycetes; Pleosporales; Pleosporaceae.
UGACCUCAGGAUCAGGUAGGGAUACCCGCUGGACUUAA